Molecule: ribosomal RNA, 92 nt
Filed under: Acidobacteriota bacterium
Lineage: Bacteria; Pseudomonadati; Acidobacteriota
Description: Acidobacteria bacterium partial 23S ribosomal RNA
Rfam family: Bacterial large subunit ribosomal RNA
Source: RNAcentral
AGGAAGACUACCUGUUUGAUAGGACGGAUGUGUAAGUUGGGUAACCAAUUCAGCUAACCGUUACUAAUUGCCCGUUCGGCUUGACCAUAAAA